Non-coding RNA from Erythranthe guttata (spotted monkey flower), 241 nucleotides. Lineage: Eukaryota; Viridiplantae; Streptophyta; Magnoliopsida; Lamiales; Phrymaceae. The record is from RefSeq and is a predicted model, not a curated record.
GGACGGUGGUCAGGGGUACUGUUUGGCUAUUGUUAAGAGCGAGGGUAUUAACAUCAUCGGACAAAAUUUUAUGACGGGGUACCGCCUAGUCUUUGACCGUGAUGAGAUGGUUUUGGGUUGGAAAGAAUCUGACUGCUAUGAUUCCAUCUCAACGGAAAGUCCACCAAAGAGAAACCCCACCGGUUCUCCUCCACCACCCACUCGUUCACGUCUACCACAACUACCACCACCGCCACCUGCA